GCCUUUGUAGCAUAGUGGUAGUGCGUUCGCUUCGUAAGCGAAAGGUCGUGAGUUCAAUCCUCACCAGAGGCU
RNAcentral lists this transfer RNA (72 nucleotides) under Ipomoea nil (Japanese morning glory). It matches the Rfam family "tRNA". From Rfam's summary of the family: Transfer RNA (tRNA) molecules are approximately 80 nucleotides in length. Lineage: Eukaryota; Viridiplantae; Streptophyta; Magnoliopsida; Solanales; Convolvulaceae. The record is from Rfam by way of RNAcentral.